GAGAGAGAGAGAGAGAGAGAGAGAGAGAGAGAGAGAGAGAGAGAGUAGGGGACAGGAAGGGCCUAUGGAAACACAGCCACGUCAAGUAAGCAAGCGAUGACACUUUGAAUAUCGUUUCGAAACGUCAUUUCCUUUUCCUUUUUUCUUUCGUUCUUUUCCGUAAAAAUAAAUCUCUAAAUUAUAAAAAAAAAUUAACCUAAAUCUUUCUAUUUUGUUAUUGUUAUUUCAUUGAUGAGCUAUUGCAAGAGGAAUUCCAGAAAAAGCUAAGCAGAAGAAGCAGACGGGAAAGAGGCGUUGGAGAUGGAAAAAUGGAGGAGAUUGUUGAAUUUGGAGAGAAGAGAAGACGUUAUUAAUUAAAGCACCAUUGUUUCGGCGGUGAGAUUGAAGAAACAAAGCAAAAUUUGGGGUGCCGUGGGGAUGUGGUAGUGGAUGUGACUACUAAGCUUUCCGUGAUGGAUGGAUGCGAUGGGAAUGGCUCCAAAAUUUCGCGUAAAAUCCCCAAUAACAGUCUGCCUGCCUGCUUCGGAGGAGCUUGUCAUUAAGAGAGGAGGAGGAAGGAUGGCAGAAGGACAAAAAUGUAGUUCGCUUUAAGACCCUGAUUGGGUUUAGAGCAAAGCUUUCCCAUUAAGAGAAAAAGAAAAGGCCAGCAGCACCCAUGGCACUUAACCUGAUGAAUGUAUUUUGCCAGCAUGCUAGCUCUAGCUGCUUACCGAGUUAGUAAACCAAAGCUAAUUGAUUUCCAUUUGUCCUGUAACUUUCACUUUUUGUUCAGAAGGUUGGCCAAGUUCCGAAGAUCCUCAAAUGCAUGCAUUGUAUCAGCAUCCAACCCUCCUGCAAACUGUGGCCGGGAAAAGGCAAAACACAAUCAGCAACAAUCUCUUUUUGUUUUCCUGAACAAAAAUGAUUAAUUAAUCGGUACCUGAUGAAUUCUGAACGCAAAUCUUACUCCUUGAAGAAGCAUGUAGUCCAUUGCGGGAUCUUUCUCUGAUGACGCCUUUGACUGAAGUUCCAUAGCUACUCUCUUCAUGUACAUCUUUGCCAACUUCACCGAACCCAACUUUAUCUACAACAUAAGAGUUCAAUUUUGACUUAUGAUGAUAUUUCAUGAAGUUUUACCUUGCUUAUGAUCCCGUUGUCGAGCAUCCAAUCUGUGGGAAUUUGGAAUUCUUU
Molecule: long non-coding RNA, 1170 nt
Organism: Cucurbita moschata (crookneck pumpkin)
Lineage: Eukaryota; Viridiplantae; Streptophyta; Magnoliopsida; Cucurbitales; Cucurbitaceae
Exons: 3
Source: RefSeq, a predicted model, not a curated record